This 497-nucleotide ribosomal RNA is filed under the name uncultured bacterium. Its description in RNAcentral is "partial 16S ribosomal RNA". It matches the Rfam family "Bacterial small subunit ribosomal RNA", at positions 28 to 507 of the family's 1533-position model. The record is from RNAcentral.
GAUGAACGCUGGCGGCGUGCCUAAUACAUGCAAGUCGAGCGAACAGACGAGGAGCUUGCUCCUCUGACGUUAGCGGCGGACGGGUGAGUAACACGUGGAUAACCUACCUAUAAGACUGGGAUAACUUCGGGAAACCGGAGCUAAUACCGGAUAAUAUAUUGAACCGCAUGGUUCAAUAGUGAAAGACGGUUUUGCUGUCACUUAUAGAUGGAUCCGCGCCGCAUUAGCUAGUUGGUAAGGUAACGGCUUACCAAGGCGACGAUGCGCAGCCGACCUGAGAGGGUGAUCGGCCACACUGGAACUGAGACACGGUCCAGACUCCUACGGGAGGCAGCAGUAGGGAAUCUUCCGCAAUGGGCGAAAGCCUGACGGAGCAACGCCGCGUGAGUGAUGAAGGUCUUCGGAUCGUAAAACUCUGUUAUUAGGGAAGAACAAAUGUGUAAGUAACUAUGCACGUCUUGACGGUACCUAAUCAGAAAGCCACGGCUAACUACGUG